This 458-nucleotide ribosomal RNA is filed under the name uncultured bacterium. RNAcentral's name for it is "partial 16S ribosomal RNA". It matches the Rfam family "Bacterial small subunit ribosomal RNA", at positions 338 to 795 of the family's 1533-position model. The record is from RNAcentral.
CCUACGGGUGGCAGCAGUGAGGAAUAUUGGUCAAUGGGCGAGAGCCUGAACCAGCCAAGUCGCGUGAGGGAGUACUGCCCUAUGGGUUGUAAACCUCUUUUGUCGGGGAGCAAAAGCCAGACGUGUCCGGCUGUGAGAUUACCCGUAGAAAAAGCAUCGGCUAACUCCGUGCCAGCAGCCGCGGUAAUACGGAGGCUACGAGCGUUAUCCGGAUUUAUUGGGUUUAAGGGGUGCGCAGGCGGAUUUUUAAGUCAGCGGUAAAAUCGUGGGGCUCAACCCCAUCCAGCCGUUGAAACUGGGGAUCUAGAGUGUGCGAGAGGUAGGUGGAAUGCGUGGUGUAGCGGUGAAAUGCAUAGAUAUCACGCAGAACCCCGAUUGCGAAGGCAGCAUACCGGUGAACAACUGACGCUCAGGCACGAAAGCGUGGGUAUCGAACAGGAUUAGAUACCCCAGUAGUC